CUCCGGCUGAAUGCGGGGCAGCUUCUCGGCGACUAGGGGCUCAUUCAGAGACUUAAGUGAUCGCUCUGGGCCACAAAGGACCUUGCCCGCACGAGGCCACACCCCAGCGUGGCCCAGCGCCUCCUGCCAGAGGUCUUCCCGGGACCAGAGGAUGGCGGAGCCCCCACCUGCCAAGGGAGACAUGAUGGGAAUCAGCCGGUGCUGGGAUCGCUUCUGAGGCAGCUGACCAGAGCAGGGAAGGUUCCCUCAAGACCACUCAUUCUUACUGAUGUGCCCCCCCUGCCCCCACCAGCAUGGACGAGAAGAAACACGACGGAGGGAGCUUUGCUUUCACCGCUUCAACGGUCAAAGCUUUUCCACACUGAACUUUACAAGAAGUCACCUUUAUUGACAUUUCCGAAGGGAAAAUACACUCACACUCGUUACAAGUGUGAUGAAGGUGGAGAGAGCAUCCCUGCGGCAGCCCCCGCUGACGCCCUCCCCCCGCCCCGCUUCUCUGCACAUCCGAGCCCCCUGGUCCCAGACCCAGACCCCGCAGUGGUCCCAAACGGGCUGCCCCCGCUCCUGUUCCGGCACCUUCUAUAACUUUUCAGGGCAGCCCCAGUGACAGUCACCGUGGAGCAGGGGCCUGCUCAGCCCCUCUCCCACGCGCCUGCAGGGGCAGGGCCUGGACCACGCCGUCCGCAGCUCUAGGGCACGCACGGAAGCAAAGGUUACCCGAUCUUCUUGUCCUAGGACGGGCGACCCCUCCCUCUCCCUGCCCCCACCGCCCCCCAUACAUCAUCCUGAUGGAAGAGGGCAAGGACCCCCUGGCCCCGUCAUCCGGAUCCAUCCCCGAUCCAGCGUGCAGGACGUGGAAGCAGGUCCAGAGGCAGGUGCGUGGCGGGGAAUGGGCUCUGCAGCGCGGCAGGACCUCGGCGCCCCAUUUUCCCAUGCCCUACACCUCUUUAGGCCAGACCCUCAAAGAAGUAUAUGCAUAGGAAAAAGGAACAGCGAGCAGCGUGGCCGGCACGGGCGUGGGUCCAGGAGGGUCCGACCUGGGUCAGGUGAGGCGCGGGGACAAGCUGCGGGCUCGGCUGGGCAGCUGCAGGCGUCCUGUGGGUGCGAGUGAGCGGGAUGGGCUGGUGGGCUGAGGCGGAGGCAGCGAGGCUGGCCGGGCCUUACCUGGUCAGCCUCGGGUCCGCAGUCUCUGCGGGCGAGCAGGGCCGGGAGUGAGGAGGAGAGCCGCUUGCUGAUUGCGGGCUCUGCCGCUGCGGCCGCCGGGCGCCCCUUUAUGCGAGGCGGAGACCUUGGCGGGCAGCACCCGGAGCAGCGGCCAUCACGUGCGGUCACGGGCUGCUCUGUGCCAAGGACCCCGCCCGCCCCCGCACCUGUGAGAUUGGGGCACAAAGACCCGCUCUGA
RNAcentral lists this long non-coding RNA (1402 nucleotides) under Monodon monoceros (narwhal). RNAcentral describes it as "lncRNA (ENSMMNG00015014563.1)". Lineage: Eukaryota; Metazoa; Chordata; Mammalia; Artiodactyla; Monodontidae. The record is from RNAcentral.